UGGGGAAUUUUGGACAAUGGGCGAAAGCCUGAUCCAGCAAUGCCGCGUGUGUGAAGAAGGCCUUCGGGUUGUAAAGCACUUUUGUCCGGAAAGAAAUCCUUGGCUCUAAUACAGUCGGGGGAUGACGGUACCGGAAGAAUAAGCACCGGCUAACUACGUGCCAGCAGCCGCGGUAAUACGUAGGGUGCAAGCGUUAAUCGGAAUUACUGGGCGUAAAGCGUGCGCAGGCGGUUUGCUAAGACCGAUGUGAAAUCCCCGGGCUCAACCUGGGAACUGCAUUGGUGACUGGCAGGCUAGAGUAUGGCAGAGGGGGGUAGAAUUCCACGUGUAGCAGUGAAAUGCGUAGAGAUGCGGAGGAAUACCGAUGGCGAAGGCAGCCCCCUGGGCCAAUACUGACGCUCAUGCACGAAAGCGUGGGGAGCAAAACAGGAUUAGAUACCCUGGUAGUCCACGCCCUAAAACGAUGUCAACUAGUUGUUGGGGAUUCAUUUCCUUAGUAACGUAGCUAACGCGUGAAGUUGACCGCCUGGGGAGUACGGUCGCAAGAUUAAAACUCAAAGGAAUUGACGGGGUCAUAGCUGUUUCCU
This 587-nucleotide ribosomal RNA is filed under the name uncultured bacterium. RNAcentral's name for it is "partial 16S ribosomal RNA". It matches the Rfam family "Bacterial small subunit ribosomal RNA", at positions 355 to 1375 of the family's 1533-position model. The record is from RNAcentral.